Molecule: ribosomal RNA, 475 nt
Filed under: uncultured bacterium
Lineage: Bacteria
Description: bacterial SSU rRNA
Rfam family: Bacterial small subunit ribosomal RNA
Source: RNAcentral
UCAGUCGACUCCUACGGGGAGGCAGCAGUGGGGAAUAUUGCACAAUGGGGGAAACCCUGAUGCAGCCAUGCCGCGUGUGUGAAGAAGGCCUUCGGGUUGUAAAGCACUUUCAGUAGGGAGGAAGGUAGUGUAGUUAACACCUGCACUAUUUGACGUUGCCUACAGAAGAAGCACCGGCUAACUCCGUGCCAGCAGCCGCGGUAAUACGGAGGGUGCGAGCGUUAAUCGGAAUUACUGGGCGUAAAGCGCAUGCAGGCGGCCUGUUAAGUCAGAUGUGAAAGCCCGGGGCUUAACCUCGGAAUUGCAUUUGAAACUGGCAGGCUAGAGUCUUGUAGAGGGGGGUAGGAAUUUCAGGUGUAGCGGUGAAAUGCGUAGAGAUCUGAAGGAAUACCAGUGGCGAAGGCGGCCCCCUGGACAAAGACUGACGCUCAGAUGCGAAAGCGUGGGGAGCAAACAGGAUUAGAUACCCUGGUAG